UACGUAGGGGGCAAGCGUUGUCCGGAUUUAUUGGGCGUAAAGAGUGUGUAGGCGGCCAGAUAGGUCAGCUGUGAAAACUCGAGGCUCAACCUCGAGAUGUCGGCUGAAACCAUCUGGCUAGAGUCCGGAAGAGGAGAAUGGAAUUCCCGGUGUAGCGGUGAAAUGCGCAGAUAUCGGGAAGAACACCCGUGGCGAAGGCGGUUCUCUGGGACGGUACUGACGCUGAGACGCGAAAGCGUGGGGAGCGAACAGG
This 253-nucleotide ribosomal RNA is filed under the name uncultured bacterium. RNAcentral describes it as "partial 16S ribosomal RNA". It matches the Rfam family "Bacterial small subunit ribosomal RNA", at positions 524 to 776 of the family's 1533-position model. The record is from RNAcentral.